GCCGGCAGCUAGCUCUUUAUAAAUCUUACAUGGUCGCCCACUGAAGCUAAGCAAGGUUGCGCCCAGUCAGUACCUGGAAGGGAGAUCACAUGGGAAAGCUAGGUUGCUGAUGGAA
Danio rerio (zebrafish) is the source of this 115-nucleotide non-coding RNA. The record is from Rfam. Lineage: Eukaryota; Metazoa; Chordata; Actinopteri; Cypriniformes; Danionidae.